Molecule: non-coding RNA, 110 nt
Organism: Ceratotherium simum simum (southern white rhinoceros)
Lineage: Eukaryota; Metazoa; Chordata; Mammalia; Perissodactyla; Rhinocerotidae
Source: RefSeq, a predicted model, not a curated record
AUAGAGAGUACUUACACAAACCUAGAUGGUAUAGCCUAAUACACACCUAGGCUAUAUGGUACUAAUCUUAUGGAGCCACUGCUGUGUAUGCAGCAGUGUAUAUGAUCAAA